Non-coding RNA from Pelobates cultripes (western spadefoot toad), 691 nucleotides. NCBI's taxonomy places the organism in Eukaryota, Metazoa, Chordata, Amphibia, Anura, Pelobatidae. The record is from the annotation of a GenBank genome assembly.
GCCUCAUGGUGGCCAGGACUUAUUUGUCCACUAGGACCGGUGUUAGGCCCAUUUUGGACACGCCCCCUGAGUCCGAGAUCCCUUUGCCGCCCCCUUACUUCCCUUUAAGAGGAAGUGAUGCGAAUGCAGGAAGUUCUGCACCCCUUCCCCUAUUGCCCCCCUCCACUUCCGCUUCCUCCUCCAGUACAGAAUCCACCCCCCCUCGUAUUAAAACUCCCCUUCCUGAACCAGGACCAACCCCCAUUAGAUCUGAAUAUCCUGAUUUGGCGCCACUUCAAACUUCCGGUCAAGCUUCUUCUAGCUCGGCUCGGAGUAUACUAUUCACUAACUUUUCCCAAAAUCAAGUUCCCACAUCCUCAUGCCCUAUUACCUCUCGACCGGAACCUUUAACUGACGCCCCUCCACGUAGCCCCAUACUAACCCGACAACUGACUGGUACCCAACAAUUAAAACAUUAUCAGAUGCCUCUUCGUCUGAAUCCUGGGUCAGCCUAUAUCGAUGCCGCAGGUCAAAUGGCACAUGCUGACCCAGUUUCGUAUAUGUCCCGUUCACGACUACCGAUCUCUUGAAUUGGAAGACCCACAAUUCCUCGUACACUGAGAAACCACAAGCUAUGACCGAUCUGUUCACCUCGAUAGUUCAGACACAUAACCCGACAUGGGCUGAUUGCCAGCAGUUAUUAAUGACAUUG